GUUAAGUUAUUAAGGGCGCAUGGUGAAUGCCUUGGUACUAGGAGCCGAUGAAGGACGGAACUAACACCGAUAUGUUUCGGGGAGCUGUACUAACUUUGAUCCGGAGAUUUCCGA
RNAcentral lists this ribosomal RNA (114 nucleotides) under Fructilactobacillus fructivorans. RNAcentral describes it as "partial 23S rRNA". It matches the Rfam family "Bacterial large subunit ribosomal RNA", at positions 1 to 117 of the family's 2925-position model. The record is from RNAcentral. Lineage: Bacteria; Bacillati; Bacillota; Bacilli; Lactobacillales; Lactobacillaceae.